Molecule: ribosomal RNA, 430 nt
Filed under: uncultured bacterium
Lineage: Bacteria
Description: bacterial SSU rRNA
Rfam family: Bacterial small subunit ribosomal RNA
Source: RNAcentral
UGGGGAAUUGUUCGCAAUGGGCGCAAGCCUGACGACGCAACGCCGCGUGGAGGAUGAAGAUCUUCGGGUCGUAAACUCCUUUCGAUCGAGACGAAUUCCUCCGGGGUGAACAAUCCCGGAGGUUGACGGUACCGAGAGAAGAAGCCCCGGCUAACUCCGUGCCAGCAGCCGCGGUAAUACGGGGGGGGCAAGCGUUGUUCGGAAUUACUGGGCGUAAAGGGCUCGUAGGUGGCCAACUAAGUCAGACGUGAAAUCCCUCGGCUUAACCGGGGAACUGCGUCUGAUACUGGUUGGCUGGAGUUUGGGAGAGGGAUGCGGAAUUCCAGGUGUAGCGGUGAAAUGCGUAGAUAUCUGGAGGAACACCGGUGGCGAAGGCGGCAUCCUGGACCAACACUGACGCUGAGGAGCGAAAGCCAGGGGAGCAAACGGG